UUGGCCAAGCCUGAACAGGCUGACCUGACUCCCCCUCCCCACCUCCGAACAAGGGAAGGAAGGAGGCGACGGUCUGGGGUGGCAGGGCAGACUGGGGCAGGGGCGAGAAGGCCCUGUUGAGGGUAGAGGACUCCGGAGUCCUGGCCUGGAAACAGCAGGCUCCGGGGAGCCCUGGCGGUGGCUGCAUCUGGGGACCAAGGAGGAAGAGGAGGCACCAGCUAAUGCUGCCAGGAGAAGCAGGGGCCGAUGCUGCGCCUGGAGGAAGGGAGGUUGCGGAUGGACGAAUCCCCGGAACCGGAGAGGGAAGAGAGGCUGCUGACUCUGCUGGGCCUGUCCCUGUGGGGCAAGAUUCCCGUGUGGGGUCCUGGGGACCUCUAAAGCCGAACGCCUGAGGGUUUUGCAUCUCUUCAGAAUCUGAGGUCGGAGGUGGGGAGGAUGGAGUCUCUGUUCCCGAGGAUCCCUCUGGGGGUCUGGAGGAGGAUAAGAUGGGGAUUCUCUUUGGUACUACCGAAUGUGAAAUAAAUUCGCCCUUGGCCAUGGUAACAGACUUGGAAG
Long non-coding RNA from Vombatus ursinus (common wombat), 555 nucleotides. RefSeq lists it as uncharacterized. Lineage: Eukaryota; Metazoa; Chordata; Mammalia; Diprotodontia; Vombatidae. The record is from RefSeq and is a predicted model, not a curated record. The transcript is spliced from 4 exons.